RNAcentral lists this unclassified non-coding RNA (6224 nucleotides) under Nilaparvata lugens (brown planthopper). Its description in RNAcentral is "phosphatidylinositol 4-kinase beta, transcript variant X1". Lineage: Eukaryota; Metazoa; Arthropoda; Insecta; Hemiptera; Delphacidae. The record is from RNAcentral.
CUAGGGUAGUGUAAUGUCUGUUGUAUGCUUAUUUAUAAUCAUAAAUAAAUAGUUUGAUUUAUAUUUUUUUGAGUGUGGAAAUCUAUUAGUCUUUUAUCAAUUCCAUUUUAUUCAUGAAAUCUCCAUAUCUCAAUUUAUAUUGUACAGUGGUUUUUGUUAAGUGAUUGUGAGUUGUCAGAUUCCAGCUUUCAAGUAGUACUGCAAUCAUAGUUAACCUUCGAAAUCGGGGCCUAGCCCAGUUUUUAGAAAUUAAAUUGGGCUACAUCAAAAAACUGUACUACUUAAAUCUUAUUUGCCUUUGGGGUCUUCGCUCAGUGAUAAGUGAGUUGCCUUAAAUUGCUCAGCAGAUAUUAGAAUUGGCUUCACAAUGCUCAGAAACUUGUCCAGUGAAACUUGAAAAGUCUCUAUUUAUGUUGAAAUUGAUGGUAUACAGAUGACGAGUCCGUCUGUAGCAGUAUGUGAGGGGAGCUCUGCGAGGGUGGUGUCAAUGCCCGCGGUCCAUGGGCGACCGGCGCAAGCACCCGCAGGUCCGCGCACGCGCCUCACCACUCAUCAGCGCAAUCUCAGCCUUGACUUCAGAUCGAUGGGAAUUGUACUUCCGCCAAUGAGCGACGUGGGAGUGAGUGGCGGUGGCGCUACGGCCACCCUGCACCAGCGCAACCGCAGCCUGGACUCGGCACUGCAGCGCAUCCCCGAGGUCGACAUCACGCCCAGUCCUGAGUGCGAGCCCACUCCCCCGCCCCUCCCCCUACCACCACCCAACCCCAGCCAACUCGGCUCCGAUGAUUCGGGCAUCAACUGUGGGUCGGACCACACUGCAUCUACUCAUCAAAGUGAUGAGAGCCUCGAUUCUGAUCAACAGACGAUUCCCGAAGCAUCGGAGGCUGCUCUUACUUGUUCUCAAAGUGAAACAUCAAAAGGCUUCCUUCUUCGUCUCUUUGAGUCCAAACUAUUUGAUAUGUCCAUGGCUAUUACAUAUCUGUUCAAUUCAAAAGAACCUGGAGUGCAGAGCUAUAUCGGGAAUAAAUUGUUCAGCUUCUCGGACUCAGAAGUAGACUUCUAUCUUCCACAGCUGGUCAACAUGUACAUUCAGAUGCAUGAUGUUGCUGAAGUAAUUCAUCCUUACUUAGUAAAUAGAUGUAGACAGUCAGCAGAUUUCUCUCUGAAAUGCUCUUGGCUUUUGGAUGCAUACAGCUCUGAUGCAGCAUUGCCUUCAAAGAAGAAAUCACACGGCACCAAAUUGAAAAACUUGAUAUUGUCCGAAGAACUGAGGCCAAAGGAAAAUGAGACUAUUAGAAGAACGUUGGGUAAACUGAAAGAACUGAACGGCCCUCCUGUUGGUGGAAACUUGCCAGUUCCAGUUCCACUAUCACCUACUAAAAAAACUCAUCAACGUUCAAGAUCAGAUGCGUCUGUGAUAAAGGGGCAUAAAAACAGAAAAGGAUCAGACAGUCCAAGGUGCUACUUGGGAGAUGUGAACUCAGGCCGUGCCUUCGACAGUGGCUGCACCUGCUUUGACUCAUGUCAGGGCGUGGUUAACGAUCUCAUGGGAAAACAAAUCGAUUGCACUUGUGGUGCACCCAGACUGGCUCCAGAGUUGGAGUUGAUCAGAUGUCUGAUUUCGAUCGGGAAAGUGCUGGGCGCGCUGGACACCAAGGAGGCGAAGACGACUCGCCUCAUCAGCGAGCUGGGCGCCCUCAACCUCAACCUGCCGGCCCGCGUCUGGCUCCCCCUCCACACCAGCCUGCCCCACCACGUCGUCCGCAUCCCCCCGCAGGCCGCUGCUGUUCUCAACUCCAAAGACAAGGCUCCUUACAUAAUUUACGUAGAAGUAGUGGAUGUUGAUGACAUGGAAACGUCGCCUGUGGUGUCGCGGGCUGUGAACUCACUGAGGCACACGCGCAGUGAAGAGAAUCUGAUGGUGCACACUGAGGUCGAUGAACUGCCACCAGUUGUCAUGCCCGACUCCUGGUCUCAGGAGGAUGAUGACAUUUCGCAGCAGUACCUGCGGUUACACAAGCCUGUUGAUAGGGACACAAUCUCUCAGCUAUCACAAGAAUCGUCGGACUCGAGAGAGCCUCCGAUGUUCGCUGCAGGAGACAUAAGAAAGCGACUAUCUGAAUCAUUCCACGAUCCUCGGCCAUUCACACAUGACCCUGAAGACCCAUCUGCUGCAGCAUUAAAGGAACCUUGGGAAGAGAAGGAGAGGAGAAUACGGGAAAGCUCUCCGUAUGGCCACUUGGCAAGUUGGCGGCUCAUGUCUGUGAUAGUGAAAUGUGGCGAUGAUUUGCGCCAGGAACUGUUGGCCUCUCAGCUGCUCACCAUGUUCCAACGAAUAUGGCAACAGGAAAGAGUGCCCCUCUGGCUCCAGCCUUACAGAAUCCUGGUUCUAUCUUGUGACUCCGGACUUAUUGAGCCUAUAGUGAAUACAGUCUCUCUCCAUCAGAUCAAGAAACAUUGUCAAUUGUCAUUAGGUGAAUAUUUCAACAAGGAAUACGGCCCCACCAACUCUGAGGAUUACCUCACAGCCCAGAAGAACUUCGUCGAGUCAUGUGCUGCCUAUUGUCUCAUUUCUUAUCUGGUGCAAGUCAAAGACAGGCAUAAUGGAAACAUUCUCCUCGAUAACGAAGGUCAUCUAAUCCACAUAGAUUUCGGAUUCAUCCUUUCUACUUCACCUAGGAAUCUAGGUUUUGAAACUUCGCCCUUCAAGCUCACACCAGAAUUCGUUGAGAUUAUGGGCGGUCCAGGCUCUGAUAUGUUCGAAUAUUUUAAAAUACUAAUAUUGCAAGGUUUGGUGGCUGCUAGGAAACAUAUGGACCGCAUAUUGAGUCUGGUGGAAAUUAUGCGUUCAGGCUCGCAGCUGCCCUGCUUCAAGUCAGGUGCAGCCACAGUGCAGGCGCUCAACAAUCGCUUCCACCUGAAUAUGACUGAGGAGCAGCUGCAGCUGCUGGUCGAGUAUCUAGUCGAAACAAGCAUACAUUCGCUCAGCACCAAACUCUAUGACGGCUUCCAGUAUCUUACCAACGGUAUUCUCUAACUGAAAUAGGUUUUAUUUUCACUUGGCAAAACUCACACCUUUUGACUUCGCAUGAAGAGGUUACAUGAUUAAAUUCCAACGUCAGAUUUCGAUAAAUUAAUGCCACUAAUAAUAACUAUUAGAAUGAAAUCAGACAGAGCCUGCCAUUAGAUGAUGGCAAAUCAAACAGACAUGUCAUUCGUGUCAUGUAUAAAUCUAAUUCAAAAAUUAUUUGAAAUUCGAAUCUCUAAAUUCAGUAUUUUAGGUUAUUUUCUUAUUUGAAAUUUUAUGAACGAUAUUCUUUUUUUUUAAUUUGUAUAAAAUUAUUUUAUUUUAUGUGAGCAAUGUAUUUAAAAAUUUUAAAUGAUGUAAUAUUUUCUUACCAUCCAAAGAGAAGUGUUUAAUUCGUGUAAAUUGUUUCCAUAAAUCAAAUUUGUAAAUAUUUGUGAUAUUUCUUAUUGAAGUAUUUCAAAUAAAAAUUAUGAUAUAUCUUUUAUUAGUAGCUGCAUCUGUGCGAUUGGCAAAUUAUUGGUUAGAUAAUUAUACAGUUAUAAUGCAUUCAGGAUUUUAGUAAUUAGAGCACUACAUGUUUGAUAAAAUCAUGAUUACAAAACUCUCUCCGUAAAACAUUAAGGCAGGCUCAAAUUAAUGUUUCCUUUGUAAUAUUGGAACGCCAAUAAAUUUACUUUGAAAACCACUUUUAUUUCAAUUUAGUGUACUAAUUAUAACUAUAUACAGUUGUAAUUCAUCUUUUCUAACAUAUCUUUUGUUAUUAUCUAUAUCUUAUGCACUCCAUUGAAAUAAUUCAUGAUUAUAGUAUCCUUAAGAGUUUAUAAUCAAGAGUAAUUCACCCAUUUUUUCAAAAGAAUUAAGAAACCUGCAGUAAAUUUAUUAUUUAAUAACAAGUUGAGUUAUUAUCUUUUAGUACUAUUAUUUUAUUCGAAAUGUUUAUUCAUCUAGUUGGUAUAUUUCUUAUAAGUCAUAUAAAUAUUAAUUUAUUAAGAAAUUCUUGUAAUGAAUCAUUUUUCCAUUGUCCAUAGAUUUUAUCUAUCUAUCUUUCUCAUUUGUCCAAUUUAAAACAAGCGUUUUGUACUUAAUUUAAAUUUCUAUGUAAAGUUGUUUGAGAUUGAAGAAAUCUAAAACAAUUUGACGUUAUACGUUCAAUUUAUCAUCAACCUUUCUAUAACAUUAUUAUUAUUAUCAUCAUCAUCAUCUUAGCACUCUGUAUAGAUCACAGAUCUGAUGUUUCCUUAUAACUAAUCUUGACUAACUUCUCAUAAAUUCAAUCAGCAAUAUUGUACAAUAUGCUUAAUUUGCUCCGCUUCUUUGUAUAUUAACCGUCAACUUUGUAUUGCUACACUGAAUUCCAAACAAUUUUCAUCUUGGCUUUGAUGUUUUACAUUAUAUAAUGCAGAUUGCUCCUUUUAGUUGCCCAUAUCUUUACCAUUCUUAUCAACAACACAGGAAAGAAAACUGAUUUUUAUCUUCCAAGUUUAUAAAACGAAUUUCAACCAGACUGUCAAUGUGUACAUUUCUCUUUGUAUAUACAUUUUUGUAAAUACAUUAUAUAAAUGAAACUUAAGCCUUUGAUAUUUUGCUCAGUGUAUAUUUCAAUUAUUUAUAGAUAUAAUAAUUAAUCUAAUAUGAAGCAGAAUUGUUUAAUCUUAUUCUGCUAUAUUUUGGUUUGAAUAUCAUAGUUAGCGCUAUUUAAUUCAUAUUUAUGUGAAUAUUGCUUGUUGAGAACUAUUAUUUUUUACAUAAUAUAUUUAUAUAAAAAAUAAUGUUUUGUGAAAUAAUAUAAAUUUUAUGUCGUUGGAAAUAUAAAGCCUCUCUAAUCAGGAUUACAUUUUUUUGUAAAGUAUUUUUAUUUAUUUCAACAAGUAGCAGAUCCUUGAUAAUCCGAGCCAGUCGGGGACCAGGCAUGUCCGACGUUAUUUAUUUAUAAAAGGUUCAAUACAGACUUUAUACAACUAUACUGUGCAUUAGGAUGUUGCUACACUAUUAAUUUCUUUGAGAAAAAACAAGUCACGAACAUCCAUUAUCUACUUCAUACUAUGAAAUACAACAGUACUGUAUUAAUAUUUCUUACAAAACCCUUCUAAAGACUAGCUACUUCUUUUUCAUGUACACCAUUACAAUUAAAAUUAAAUAUUUUAGACAUUAAAAUAUUGAAUAGCAUUAUAACUACUUCAGUUCCUUUGAAUGUCCAUGACAUUGUUUUAGUUUUCAAUCAAUUGUUAGAUCUCAUAUAAUAACAUUUGCAUUCUUGCGAAAGCGAAAGAUAACUCAUUUAAUUACCUAUAAAUUUGAAUCUCUAAUCACCAUAUUUCUGCAAGAUAUAUGUAAGAUAGAAGCUCAUAGAUUCAUUAAGAAGCAUAGUUCACAUUAUAUUGGUUAUUUCCUACCCGACAGUGCCGGAUUAAGGGUUCUUCUGUACUUGUUAACGUACAAGUGAGUAGUAUGAAAACUAUAGCUGAAUCCUGUCAUUCAAUUUAAACACGUAACUAUGACAGUCUAUCGUAAAACUACGAAAUAGUUUCGGUUAAAUGGAAUUACGGAAAUUCAAUAAUCCUCUAAUUAUUCGAAUUUCAACUAAAAUACAUUUGCUUCUGAAAUAUAAAGUUUAAAACAACUAGUAAUACUUAUAUGCUUAUUAUUGUUGUUUAUAAUGCAUUCUGUUCAAUUUUUGGUAUUUCAAUCUUCAAUUAAAAUUGUAAACACCCAAACUUAUUCCUGCCAAAAUCGUAGAAAAUAUUUUUUGUCAGUUUCAAUUGGAAAAAAAUAUUCAUGCUAUUAGAUCAAUUUGAAAAAUGCUUAAUGAAAAUGUGUUGGCAAAUUUAAAAAUUUUAUCAAAGUGUUUUUGAACUCAAAUAAUCAUUGUCUAGAUUUCAAAUUUAUCAAAUUCGUACGUACGACUAAAGUAACCAUUAGAUAUUAAUGGUGGUUCCAGUCCAUCACUACAGUAGAUUUUUGUUGUAUAUACUCAUCAAUUGAUAGAUGCUUUUUAUAUUAAUAAAAACAUGCAUUUUUAAGACUGAUGAUUAUGGGCCAUGUUGUAACAUAUUUACUGUAAUAAUAGUUCUUAUGCAUGUUUUUCUUUCAUUUUAUAAAUAUUGAUAUAAAACUUAUCGCUAUUCAAUAUUUUCUCUCAAAGUUACUAUUAUAUAGCUACAUCCGAUUUUAAACCAAUAAAAGUGUUUUACAUGAA